This 1210-nucleotide long non-coding RNA is filed under the name Sus scrofa (pig). RNAcentral describes it as "lncRNA (ENSSSCG00070023656.1)". The stretch from base 354 to 447 matches the Rfam family "Small nucleolar RNA SNORD116". Lineage: Eukaryota; Metazoa; Chordata; Mammalia; Artiodactyla; Suidae. The record is from RNAcentral.
CUGCUGCGGCGGAGAAACGGAGGCCAGCGCGGGGAGCGGAAGCCGGAGCCUGUCGGGAGUAACCCCGGGAAGGCCAGUCCCUCCUGCCGGAGGGAGGCGUGUUGGGUGCGGCCGGUGGCGGGAUCGAUGGCCACCUGGUAGGCGAUGGUAAGCGGCAGUGGCCUGCGCCAAGGUAGCCCCCGGGGGGCGGUGUGUGGCGCCCGGACCCGCACCCUCUGCUCCCGGGGGUGGAGCUGACCUGCUUGCCCGCGGUUGGGCUCGGGAGCCUGCGGGCCGCGGCCAGGAGGGAGCUGGCUGGCCGUCCCGGCGGUGGGGGCUGUGGCGGUGGCCGUCCCGCGGGUGUGCCCGUGCUCGGAUCGAUGAUGACACCCACAAACGCAUUCCUUGGAAAAUCUGAACAAAAUGAGUGAGAACUCACUACCGUCUCCUCAUCGCAAACUGAGGUCCAGCACGUGGCUCCCACAGGGGACGUCGGGGGACGUCCCGUUGCCUUGGCUCCCUUGGCUGCUGCGGCGGAGAAACGGAGGCCAGCGCGGGGAGCGGACGCCGGAGCCUGUCGGGAGCAACCCCGGGAAGGCCAGUCCCUCCUGCCGGAGGGAGGCGUGUUGGCGUGCGGCCGGUGGCGGGAUCGAUGGCCACCUGGUAGGCGAUGCUGCUGCGGCGGAGAAACGGAGGCCAGCGCGGGGAGCGGAAGCCGGAGCCUGUCGGGAGCGACCCCGGGAAGGCCAGUCCCUCCUGCCGGUGGAGGCGUGUUGGCGUGCGGCCGGUGGCGGGAUCGAUGGCCACCUGGUAGGCGAUGGUAAGCGGCAGUGGCCUGCGCCAAGGUAGCCCCCGGGGGGCGGUGUGUGGCGCCCGGACCCGCACCCUCUGCUCCCGGGGGUGGAGCUGACCUGCUUGCCCGCGGUUGGGCUCGGGAGCCUGCGGGCCGCGGCCAGGAGGGAGCUGGCUGGCCGUCCCGGCGGUGGGGGCUGUGGCGGUGGCCGUCCCGCGGGUGUGCCCGUGCUCGGAUCGAUGAUGACACCCACAAACGCAUUCCUUGGAAAAUCUGAACAAAAUGAGUGAGAACUCACUACCGUCUCCUCAUCGCAAACUGAGGUCCGGCACGUGGCUCCCACAGGGGACGUCGGGGGAGGGUCCCGUUGCCUUGGCUCCCUUGGGUGCGUGCAGCCCUGGGGCGCAGGUGGGGGCAGGCAGGCCUCCGGUGGCCCGG